This 484-nucleotide ribosomal RNA is filed under the name uncultured bacterium. Its description in RNAcentral is "partial 16S ribosomal RNA". It matches the Rfam family "Bacterial small subunit ribosomal RNA", at positions 30 to 507 of the family's 1533-position model. The record is from RNAcentral.
AUUGAACGCUGGCGGCAGGCCUAACACAUGCCAGUCGAGCGGAUGAAGGGAGCUUGCUCCUGGAUUCAGCGGCGGACGGGUGAGUAAUGCCUAGGAAUCUGCCUGGUAGUGGGGGAUAACGUCCGGAAACGGGCGCUAAUACCGCAUACGUCCUGAGGGAGAAAGUGGGGGAUCUUCGGACCUCACGCUAUCAGAUGAGCCUAGGUCGGAUUAGCUAGUUGGUGGGGUAAAGGCCUACCAAGGCGACGAUCCGUAACUGGUCUGAGAGGAUGAUCAGUCACACUGGAACUGAGACACGGUCCAGACUCCUACGGCAGGCAGCAGUGGGGAAUAUUGGACAAUGGGCGAAAGCCUGAUCCAGCCAUGCCGCGUGUGUGAAGAAGGUCUUCGGAUUGUAAAGCACUUUAAGUUGGGAGGAAGGGCAGUAAGUUAAUACCUUGCUGUUUUGACGUUACCAACAGAAUAAGCACCGGCUAACUUCGUG